GCGCAGCAGGCGCGAAAACUUCACACUGUGCGAAAGCACGAUGAGGGAAUCCCAAGUGCUUGCACGUAAGUGUAAGCUGUUCCUCUGUCUAAAACGCAGAGAGAGUAAGGGCUGGGUAAGACGGGUGCCAGCCGCCGCGGUAAUACCUGCAGCUCAAGUGGUGACCGUUAUUAUUGGGCCUAAAACGUCCGUAGCCGGUUUAAUAAAUGCCUGGGUAAAUUGUGUAGCUUAACUAUACGAAUUCCGGGUAGACUGUUAAACUUGAGACCGGGAGAAGUUAGAGGUACUCCUGGGGUAGAGGUGAAAAUUCUGUAAUCCUAGGGGGACCACCAGUGGCGAAGGCGUCUAACUAGAACGGGUCUGACGGUGAGGGACGAAGCCCUGGGGCGCAAAC
This 394-nucleotide ribosomal RNA is filed under the name uncultured microorganism. RNAcentral's name for it is "bacterial SSU rRNA". It matches the Rfam family "Archaeal small subunit ribosomal RNA", at positions 330 to 724 of the family's 1478-position model. The record is from RNAcentral.